CAGUCGCCGCGGUAAGACAGAGGAUGCAAGCGUUAUCCGGAAUGAUUGGGCGUAAAGCGUCUGUAGGUGGCUUUUCAAGUCCGCCGUCAAAUCCCAGGGCUCAACCCUGGACAGGCGGUGGAGACUACCAAGCUGGAGUACGGUAGGGGCAGAGGGAGUUUCCGGUGGAGCGGUGAAAUGCGUUGAGAUCGGAAAGAACACCAACGGCGAAAGCACUCUGCUGGGCCGACACUGACACUGAGAGACGAAAGCUAGGGGAGCAAAUGGGAUUAGAUACCCCCGUAGUCCCUGUCUCUUAUAC
This 301-nucleotide ribosomal RNA is filed under the name uncultured bacterium. RNAcentral's name for it is "partial 16S ribosomal RNA". It matches the Rfam family "Bacterial small subunit ribosomal RNA", at positions 509 to 807 of the family's 1533-position model. The record is from RNAcentral.